Molecule: long non-coding RNA, 234 nt
Filed under: Trifolium pratense (red clover)
Lineage: Eukaryota; Viridiplantae; Streptophyta; Magnoliopsida; Fabales; Fabaceae
Description: long non-coding RNA (TPRA_LNC010993)
Source: RNAcentral
AGGUUGAGCUGGGAAGUAAAAACUAACAUUUGAAUCUUGAAUUAAAAAUGUGUCAGAGAAAUACAGCACUGGUGGAGUAGAUAGCACACAUGCACUUUGUUUCACCAACUUAUAGGAAUCAAUCAUAACCUGAAAAUGCUAUGCUUAUUAUGCACUCCAAAUUGUGAAGGUGAUUUUUUCAUUGUUGAUGAAAUUUAUUGUUUGAUUGAGGUUAUUCUAACUCAACUAGUCAAG